This 470-nucleotide ribosomal RNA is filed under the name Gemella sanguinis. RNAcentral describes it as "bacterial SSU rRNA". It matches the Rfam family "Bacterial small subunit ribosomal RNA", at positions 28 to 478 of the family's 1533-position model. The record is from RNAcentral. Lineage: Bacteria; Bacillati; Bacillota; Bacilli; Caryophanales; Gemellaceae.
GACGAACGCUGGCGGCGUGCCUAAUACAUGCAAGUCGAGCGAAGUUUUUCUGGUGCUUGCACUAGAAAAACUUAGCGGCGAACGGGUGAGUAACACGUAAAGAACCUGCCUCAUAGACGGGGACAACUAUUGGAAACGAUAGCUAAUACCGGAUAACAGCAUAAAUCGCAUGAUAUAUGUUUAAAAGUUGGUUUCGGCUAACACUAUGAGAUGGCUUUGCGGUGCAUUAGCUAGUUGGUGGGGUAAAGGCCUACCAAGGCGACGAUGCAUAGCCGACCUGAGAGGGUGAUCGGCCACACUGGGACUGAGACACGGCCCAGACUCCUACGGGAGGCAGCAGUAGGGAAUCUUCCGCAAUGGGCGAAAGCCUGACGGAGCAACGCCGCGUGAGUGAGGAAGGAUUUCGGUUCGUAAAGCUCUGUUGUUAGGGAAGAAUGAUUGUAUAGUAACUAUAUACAGUAGAGACGUAC